Molecule: ribosomal RNA, 253 nt
Filed under: uncultured bacterium
Lineage: Bacteria
Description: partial 16S ribosomal RNA
Rfam family: Bacterial small subunit ribosomal RNA
Source: RNAcentral
CACGUAGGGCGCAAGCGUUAUCCGGAAUUAUUGGGCGUAAAGAGCUCGUAGGCGGUUUGUCGCGUCUGCCGUGAAAGUCCGGGGCUCAACUCCGGAUCUGCGGUGGGUACGGGCAGACUAGAGUGAUGUAGGGGAGACUGGAAUUCCUGGUGUAGCGGUGAAAUGCGUAGAUAUCUGGAGGAACACCGGUGGCGAAGGCGGCAUCCUGGACCAUGACUGACGCUGAGGAGCGAAAGCCAGGGGAGCAAACGGG